RNAcentral lists this ribosomal RNA (509 nucleotides) under uncultured bacterium. RNAcentral describes it as "bacterial SSU rRNA". It matches the Rfam family "Bacterial small subunit ribosomal RNA", at positions 28 to 520 of the family's 1533-position model. The record is from RNAcentral.
GACGAACGCUGGCGGCGUGCCUAAUACAUGCAAGUCGAGCGGACCAAAGGGAGCUUGCUCCUGGAGGUCAGCGGCGAACGGGUGAGUAACACGUGGGCAACCUGCCUGUAAGACUGGGAUAACAUCGAGAAAUCGGUGCUAAUACCGGAUAGUAAAAAGAACUGCAUGGUUCUUUUUUGAAAGAUGGUUUCGGCUAUCACUUACAGAUGGGCCCGCGGCGCAUUAGCUAGUUGGUGAGGUAACGGCUCACCAAGGCAACGAUGCGUAGCCGACCUGAGAGGUGAUCGGCCACACUGGGACUGAGACACGGCCCAGACUCCUACGGGAGGCAGCAGUAGGGAAUCUUCCGCAAUGGACGAAAGUCUGACGGAGCAACGCCGCGUGAGUGAUGAAGGUUUUCGGAUCGUAAAACUCUGUUGUUAGGGAAGAACAAGUGCCGUUCGAAAGGGCGGCACCUUGACGGUACCUAACGAGAAAGCCACGGCUAACUACGUGCCAGCAGCCGACGG